This 64-nucleotide transfer RNA is filed under the name Megacopta cribraria (bean plataspid). RNAcentral's name for it is "tRNA-Pro". The record is from RNAcentral. Lineage: Eukaryota; Metazoa; Arthropoda; Insecta; Hemiptera; Plataspidae.
CAGUAAAUAGUUUAUAUAAAAUAUUAAUUUUGGAGAUUAAAGAAGAGUUAUGGCUUUUUACUGA